UGGUGCAGACAGGUAUCCUAGAAGACUGA
This 29-nucleotide non-coding RNA is filed under the name Homo sapiens (human). The record is from RNAcentral. Lineage: Eukaryota; Metazoa; Chordata; Mammalia; Primates; Hominidae.